GUGGGUGCACUUAAGAUAAAAGAGAUAAAUUAUUAUUGAACAUUCAUAUAGUCAAAUUCCAGGUUUUGUUUUGAUUACAGCUUGUACAAUUGCCUCCAUCCUUAAGGGGUUAAUUGAUGAUAUGACUACAUCUCUCUAUAUUGUUCCAGAAAGUACAGCUCUGAAUUCCAGCCAGACAGAACUCAUUCAACAUUUCCCAUUCACAAGACUCCGAGCAUUCACUGAAAUGUUCA
Non-coding RNA from Pelobates cultripes (western spadefoot toad), 233 nucleotides. The record is from the annotation of a GenBank genome assembly. NCBI's taxonomy places the organism in Eukaryota, Metazoa, Chordata, Amphibia, Anura, Pelobatidae.